UACGUAGGUGGCAAGCGUUGUCCGGAUUUACUGGGCGUAAAGGAUGCGUAGGUGGAUAUUUAAGUGGGAUGUGAAAUACCCGGGCUCAACUUGGGUGCUGCAUUCCAAACUGGAUAUCUAGAGUGCAGGAGAGGUAAGUGGAAUUCCUAGUGUAGCGGUGAAAUGCGUAGAGAUUAGGAAGAACACCAGUGGCGAAGGCGACUUACUGGACUGUAACUGACACUGAGGCAUGAAAGCGUGGGGAGCAAACAGGAUUAGAAACCCCCGUAGUCC
RNAcentral lists this ribosomal RNA (273 nucleotides) under uncultured bacterium. RNAcentral describes it as "partial 16S ribosomal RNA". It matches the Rfam family "Bacterial small subunit ribosomal RNA", at positions 524 to 796 of the family's 1533-position model. The record is from RNAcentral.